GAUGAACGCUAGCGGCAGGCUUAACACAUGCAAGUCGAGGGGCAGCAUGACACGGAGAUUCGUCGAAGUGUCGAUGGCGACCGGCGCAAGGGUGCGUAACGCGUGAGCAACUUGCCCGUUUCUGGGGAAUAACCGUUGGAAACGACGACUAAUACCCCAUAGCAUUGGUUUGAGGCAUCUCUUACCAAUUAAAGAACUUCGGAAACGGAUAGGCUCGCGUGACAUUAGCUAGAUGGCGGGGUAACGGCCCACCAUGGCUACGAUGUCUAGGGGUUCUGAGAGGAAGGUCCCCCACACUGGAACUGAGACACGGUCCAGACUCCUACGGGAGGCAGCAGUGGGGAAUAUUGGGCAAUGGGCGCAAGCCUGACCCAGCAACGCCGCGUGAAGGAAGAAGGCUUUCGGGUUGUAAACUUCUUUUAUAAGGGACGAAACAAAUGGGACGGUACCUUAUGAAUAAGCCACGGCUAACUACGUG
Molecule: ribosomal RNA, 478 nt
Filed under: uncultured bacterium
Lineage: Bacteria
Description: bacterial SSU rRNA
Rfam family: Bacterial small subunit ribosomal RNA
Source: RNAcentral